This 253-nucleotide ribosomal RNA is filed under the name Faecalibacterium prausnitzii. RNAcentral describes it as "partial 16S ribosomal RNA". It matches the Rfam family "Bacterial small subunit ribosomal RNA", at positions 524 to 776 of the family's 1533-position model. Lineage: Bacteria; Bacillati; Bacillota; Clostridia; Eubacteriales; Oscillospiraceae. The record is from RNAcentral.
AACGUAGGUCACAAGCGUUGUCCGGAAUUACUGGGUGUAAAGGGAGCGCAGGCGGGAAGACAAGUUGGAAGUGAAAUCUAUGGGCUCAACCCAUAAACUGCUUUCAAAACUGUUUUUCUUGAGUAGUGCAGAGGUAGGCGGAAUUCCCGGUGUAGCGGUGGAAUGCGUAGAUAUCGGGAGGAACACCAGCGGCGAAGGCGGCCUACUGGGCACCAACUGACGCUGAGGCUCGAAAGUGUGGGUAGCAAACAGG